AUGGCGCGCCGGGGAUGCAGCUGCUGGAGGAUGCCUGUCUGGAGGGUGCGACACAUCAGCCUCCCAAGUGUGUCCACCGCGAGCACGAAGAGCUGCGGGGAGGUGGAAUCGCCCUGUCUCAGUCCGCGGCGAUGCCAGAUUGGCGGGCCGGGAACACCGUUGAGCAUGACACGGGUGCUCGCCGAGGACAGCAAGAUGGCUAGCCACUUCCUGAACCUGUCCCCAAACCCAUACUGGCGUAGCACCUCAAAGCGGAAGGGCCAGGAGAUGGAGUCGAAGGCGCGCGAGGUCGAGCUUGAGCAUGAUCCUGGGCGUGCCAAGUUGAUGCAGCAUAUUGAGGGAUUGCCAGACAAGAACGAAGUUGUCUUGGAGGCUACGUCCGGCAAUGAACGCGUUUUGGUUGCGACUGACAUGGGUGUCGAGCUUUGGGGCGAGGCACAAUGA
This 444-nucleotide ribosomal RNA is filed under the name Triticum aestivum (bread wheat). RNAcentral describes it as "partial small subunit ribosomal RNA". Lineage: Eukaryota; Viridiplantae; Streptophyta; Magnoliopsida; Poales; Poaceae. The record is from RNAcentral.